AAAAAAGUAGUCUCAGUUCAGAUUGUAGGCUGCAACUCGCCUACAUGAAGUCGGAAUUGCUAGUAAUCGCGGAUCAGCAUGCCGCGGUGAAUACGUUCCCGGGCCUUGUACACACCGCCCGUCACACCAUGAGAGCCGGUAACACCCGAAGUCAGUAGCCUAACCGCGAAGGGGGGGCGCUGCCGAAGGUGGGAUUGGUAAUUGGGGUGAAGUCGUAACAAGGUAUC
This 227-nucleotide ribosomal RNA is filed under the name uncultured bacterium. Its description in RNAcentral is "partial 16S ribosomal RNA". It matches the Rfam family "Bacterial small subunit ribosomal RNA", at positions 1276 to 1500 of the family's 1533-position model. The record is from RNAcentral.